This 23-nucleotide unclassified non-coding RNA is filed under the name Mus musculus (house mouse). RNAcentral's name for it is "oocyte_clustered_small_RNA2976". Lineage: Eukaryota; Metazoa; Chordata; Mammalia; Rodentia; Muridae. The record is from RNAcentral.
UAAGAGGGAGAAGAGGUGUCAAU